Non-coding RNA from Aegilops tauschii subsp. strangulata, 982 nucleotides. The record is from RefSeq and is a predicted model, not a curated record. NCBI's taxonomy places the organism in Eukaryota, Viridiplantae, Streptophyta, Magnoliopsida, Poales, Poaceae.
UUAUAAUUAGCUUUUCCAAAUUAAUAGAUAGUUUCUGUCAAGAUUAAUACAUACUGUUUGAUUGAAGUCCAUAUUUGAUUACACGUUCACACAAUUUGCAACGUUGUUUCAACAAACUAACAGUGUGAGGUUUAACUUUUUUUGUGUGCAGAAAAUGGAUGACAACACUUAAUCGAUCAUUGUUGAGGAUUUUGAAACCCGACCUUCAUAAAGAAAGCAAAAUGUUCUGAAUCGGGUGUUUUGAAAUGGAGGUUUAACUUUAUUUGUAAGGCCCGCUCGGUACGUCCACCCUGAGGCAUCGCCAUCUACAUGGUGGAAGAGGUUCGUCACUGUGGACAACAUCAGCGGCGACGUUGUUUCCAAUACGCAGCAAGUGCGCGACUUCGGUGAGGGUGCACAAGGUUUCUGCAUGUCCCUCAAGUUCCUGCCCCCAUACCGUCGCUCUCGCCAGUCACAGCCGGAAGCUUGGAACCACGGCCUGCUCUGAACGAGUCUCCAUCUGAUGUAUGGUACUUUGCCAAGGUCAAGGAGUAGCUUCCCGCAAAAAAAAAAAAGGUUCAAGGAGUAGCACCAGCACCUCUGAAGCAGCAGCAAAAGGAUCAAAACCACAUUCUUCAGCAUCCUACUCGGCAAAAAAAGGGCGAAAAGACUGACUUCCAGAAAAAAAACAUGAAGAAUUCUUCAAGCACCAGACUGAGACAGAUUCCUUGAGAAGUGCGCUUGAUAAUAUCAGGUGGUCAGGUUCUUUUCUAAGUUGAGGUAGGGUUGCCUCUUCAAUCUGUGAUAUUCAAAUGAGAGGGAAAUGAAUAUAUAGAGGAAUAUAAUUAGAAUACAUUAUUAGCAACCUCCAAAUUUUUAUCAUGUCUCAUGGCCAGUUCAAUACUUCUUUCUUGAUGCAACGGCUGAUAUAUGGUUGUUUUCCAUGGCUAUGUUAGUAAACUUUUAUGCAAAUUUAUAUUAUUCUCUUAUUCACUAAUGAUUA